This 763-nucleotide ribosomal RNA is filed under the name uncultured Streptococcus sp. Its description in RNAcentral is "bacterial SSU rRNA". It matches the Rfam family "Bacterial small subunit ribosomal RNA", at positions 28 to 776 of the family's 1533-position model. Lineage: Bacteria; Bacillati; Bacillota; Bacilli; Lactobacillales; Streptococcaceae. The record is from RNAcentral.
GACGAACGCUGGCGGCGUGCCUAAUACAUGCAAGUAGAACGCUGAAGGAGGAGCUUACUUCUCCGGAUGAGUUGCGAACGGGUGAGUAACGCGUAGGUAACCUGCCUGGUAGCGGGGGAUAACUAUUGGAAACGAUAGCUAAUACCGCAUAACAGUAGAUAUUGCAUGAUAUCUGCUUGAAAGGUGCAAUUGCAUCACUACCAGAUGGACCUGCGUUGUAUUAGCUAGUUGGUGAGGUAACGGCUCACCAAGGCGACGAUACAUAGCCGACCUGAGAGGGUGAUCGGCCACACUGGGACUGAGACACGGCCCAGACUCCUACGGGAGGCAGCAGUAGGGAAUCUUCGGCAAUGGACGGAAGUCUGACCGAGCAACGCCGCGUGAGUGAAGAAGGUUUUCGGAUCGUAAAGCUCUGUUGUAAGAGAAGAACGAGUGUGAGAGUGGAAAGUUCACACUGUGACGGUAUCUUACCAGAAAGGGACGGCUAACUACGUGCCAGCAGCCGCGGUAAUACGUAGGUCCCGAGCGUUGUCCGGAUUUAUUGGGCGUAAAGCGAGCGCAGGCGGUUAGAUAAGUCUGAAGUUAAAGGCUGUGGCUUAACCAUAGUACGCUUUGGAAACUGUUUAACUUGAGUGCAAGAGGGGAGAGUGGAAUUCCAUGUGUAGCGGUGAAAUGCGUAGAUAUAUGGAGGAACACCGGUGGCGAAAGCGGCUCUCUGGCUUGUAACUGACGCUGAGGCUCGAAAGCGUGGGGAGCAAACAGG